AUGGAAACCCAAGGAUUUAAUGCAUAUGAUUGUUUGUUUCACAUUGAAAAUCCAUCUUUAGGAGAGAAAGGGCUGGAUUUGGUAGACAGUCAUGCAGAAUUACAGAUGAUAAAGAGGAAGAUCCAGGACAAAUUGGUGCUUAAUUUGCUAGUCAGGGCUUGUCCACCCCCUGAUACUGAUUUUGAGAGGCAGCAUUUUGAAAAGCCAGACUUGUCCACUGUGGUGUACCAAGAGCCUGUUGUUUAUGAUCUGAGUGAGCCUCCUAUCUUAGCUGUUGAUCAGGAAGGAGUAGUCUUUGAGAGUCAAUGUAGCACACAUCACCCUGUUGCUCCUGCUGGUGUUUGCACACAAGAAAGCAGAAAUGCAACUAACAAGUUGAAAGCAGUUUUGGAAGAAGAAGAAGAGGGAUAUGAAGGAUUUGAGGCUUAUGAGGACAGUGAUUCCUCUGAUGAGGAUGGUCAAAUUGGAAGUUACCCUAAUUACAUGGUUGAUGAAGAAGAUGUAGAGGUGGAAGAGGGAAAGAGGCAGAGAGAGCUAGAAGUACAAGAGGAAGAAUCAGAUGAUGAUCAAUCAGAAGAGGAAGAAAUGCUGCAUUAUGAGGGUGACACUGAAGUUGAGGACCCAUUUGAGGUAGAGGAAGAUAGGACUUUUGAACAAGAAGAAGAAACUAUAGUUGAACCUGUAAAGAAGAAGCAGAAGCUGCCAGUUAGAAGAGGCCCAACCACUAGGUCACAUUGUAGUGAGCUACCAGAGGUUGAACCUGAUUUCAGACCAUCAUCAGAUGAAGAAGAGGAGGGGUUGUUGAGGGAGAGUGAUGAUGAUGGUUUUCAGCCACUCUCUUUUGUCCUACAAAAGAAAAGGAAGAGUAGGGCAAAGAAAAGGCCUCCUAGGAAGUGGUACAAUGAGAAAAUGGAGCAACCACAUGAGCAACUGUGUAUGAAGUUGUGUUUUAGGGAUCAUCAUCAAUUCAGAGAAGCUUUGUUGAAUUUGCACAUCACCCAGGCCAGGAAUUUCAGGUAUCACAGGAAUUCAGAUCAGAGGAUAAUUGUUGAGUGUACAGAUAAAAAAUGCCAGUUCUUAAUGGUGGCAACAGUUAUAAAAGGGGAGAAAACAUUUGUAAUUAAGAAGAUGAGACUAGAGCACACUUGCCCUAGUACCACUGAGACCACCAGGGUUAGUGCUAAGUGGCUAGCACAGAAAUAUGAGCAUCUCUUUAGAUCUGAUAUAACUACUGGUAUUCAGACUAUAAUUGAUGCAUGCAAUGAAAAAUAUGGUGUAGAUGUGCCCAAGUGCAUGGCAUAUAGGGCAAAGAACAUAGCUAUUGAUGCUGUGUUAGGAGAUCACAGGAAGCAAUAUCCUAGGCUUAAAGACUAUGCUCAGACUGUCAUGGACACAAACUCUGGGAGUAGAGUAAUAGUCACUACUGUUACUCCAGUACCUAAUGCAAAAAUACCCCACCCAGGCCCAAGAUUCCAUGCCAUGUUUUUUUGCCUUAAUGGAGCAAGGGAGGGGUUUCUCAAUGGGUGUAGGCCUUUCAUUGGUUAG
RNAcentral lists this ribosomal RNA (1545 nucleotides) under Triticum aestivum (bread wheat). RNAcentral describes it as "partial small subunit ribosomal RNA". Lineage: Eukaryota; Viridiplantae; Streptophyta; Magnoliopsida; Poales; Poaceae. The record is from RNAcentral.